Molecule: ribosomal RNA, 253 nt
Filed under: uncultured bacterium
Lineage: Bacteria
Description: partial 16S ribosomal RNA
Rfam family: Bacterial small subunit ribosomal RNA
Source: RNAcentral
CACGUAGGGCGCAAGCGUUGUCCGGAAUUAUUGGGCGUAAAGAGCUCGUAGGUGGUCUGUUGCGUCCGCUGUGAAAACUCGGGGCUUAACCCCGAGCCUGCAGUGGAUACGGGCAGACUAGAGGUAGGUAGGGGAGAAUGGAAUUCCCGGUGUAGCGGUGAAAUGCGUAGAUAUCGUAAGGAAGACCAGUGGCGAAGGCGGGUCUCUGGACAGUUCCUGACGCUGAGGCACGAAGGUCAGGGGAGCAAACGGG